ACCCUUUUGUGGUUCAUAAGUAUGGUGGUUCGGUUUUCACGCUCAUGUGUGAGACGUGCCUCUCUCCAACCUUGUUACAGCACAGGCACAUUACCCAUCUGACA
Small nucleolar RNA from Pongo abelii (Sumatran orangutan), 104 nucleotides. NCBI's taxonomy places the organism in Eukaryota, Metazoa, Chordata, Mammalia, Primates, Hominidae. The record is from Ensembl.